This 311-nucleotide ribosomal RNA is filed under the name uncultured bacterium. Its description in RNAcentral is "bacterial SSU rRNA". It matches the Rfam family "Bacterial small subunit ribosomal RNA", at positions 29 to 329 of the family's 1533-position model. The record is from RNAcentral.
AACGAACGCUGGCGGCGCGUCUUAAGCAUGCAAGUCGAACGGCAAGAUUUUGUAGCUUGCUACAAAAUCCUAGAGUGGCGGACUGGUGAGUAACACGUGGGUGACGUACCUUUCAGAUGGGGAUAGCUACUAGAAAUAGUAGAUAAUACCGAAUACGACCACAGGGGUUAGAGACCUGUGAGGAAAGGAGCUAAGGCUCCGCUGAAAGAUUGGCCUGCGGCCCAUUAGCUAGUUGGUAGGGUAAAGGCUACCAAGGCAAUGAUGGGUAUCGGCCUGAGAGGGUGAUCGGACACAUUGGGACUGAGAUACGG